This 406-nucleotide ribosomal RNA is filed under the name uncultured bacterium. RNAcentral's name for it is "partial 16S ribosomal RNA". It matches the Rfam family "Bacterial small subunit ribosomal RNA", at positions 30 to 526 of the family's 1533-position model. The record is from RNAcentral.
AUUGAACGCUGGCGGCAGGCUUAACACAUGCAAGUCGAGCGAGCGGCGGACGGGUGAGUAAUGUCUGGGAAACUGCCUGAUGGAGGGGGAUAACUACUGGAAACGGUAGCUAAUACCGCAUACCAUCAGAUGUGCCCAGAUGGGAGUAGCUAGUAGGUGGGGUAAUGGCUCACCUAGGCGACGAGCCCUAGGUGGUCGGAGAGGAUGACCAUCCACACUGGAACUGAGACACGGUCCAUACCCCUACGGGAGGCAGCAGUGGUGAAUAUUGCACAAUGGGCGCAAGCCUGACACAGCCAUGCCGCGUGUGUGAAGAAUGCCGUCGGGUUGUAAAGCACUUUCAGCGAGGAGGCGUUACUCGCAGAAGAAGCACCGGCUAACUCCGUGCCAGCAGCCGCGGUAAUUC